This 439-nucleotide ribosomal RNA is filed under the name uncultured bacterium. RNAcentral describes it as "bacterial SSU rRNA". It matches the Rfam family "Bacterial small subunit ribosomal RNA", at positions 29 to 507 of the family's 1533-position model. The record is from RNAcentral.
AGCGAACGCUGGCGGCAUGCUUAACACAUGCAAGUCGCACGGGCGGGGGCAACUCCGUCAGUGGCGGACGGGUGAGUAACGCGUAGGAAUCUAUCCUUGAAUGGGGGACAACCGUGGGAAACUACGGCUAAUACCGCAUGAUGCCUGAGGGCCAAAGACGAAAGUCGUUUGAGGAGGAGCCUGCGUCUGAUUAGGUAGUUGGUGGGGUAAAGGCCUACCAAGCCUACGAUCAGUAGCUGGUCUGAGAGGAUGAUCAGCCACAUUGGGACUGAGACACGGCCCAAACUCCUACGGGAGGCAGCAGUGGGGAAUAUUGGACAAUGGGCGCAAGCCUGAUCCAGCAAUGCCGCGUGGGUGAAGAAGGUCUUCGGAUUGUAAAGCACUUUUGGCAGGGACGAUGAUGACGGUACCUGCAGAAUAAGCUCCGGCUAACUUCGUG